GACGAACGCUGGCGGCGUGCUUAACACAUGCAAGUCGAACGGAAAGGCCCUGCUUUUGUGGGGUGCUCGAGUGGCGAACGGGUGAGUAACACGUGAGUAACCUGCCCUUGACUUUGGGAUAACUUCAGGAAACUGGGGCUAAUACCGGAUAGGAGCUCCUGCUGCAUGGUGGGGGUUGGAAAGUUUCGGCGGUUGGGGAUGGACUCGCGGCUUAUCAGCUUGUUGGUGGGGUAGUGGCUUACCAAGGCUUUGACGGGUAGCCGGCCUGAGAGGGUGACCGGCCACAUUGGGACUGAGAUACGGCCCAGACUCCUACGGGAGGCAGCAGUGGGGAAUAUUGCACAAUGGGCGGAAGCCUGAUGCAGCAACGCCGCGUGCGGGAUGACGGCCUUCGGUUUGUAAACCGCUUUCGCCUGUGACGAAGCGUGAGUGACGGUAAUGGGUGAAGAAGCACCGGCUAACUACGUG
Molecule: ribosomal RNA, 468 nt
Filed under: uncultured bacterium
Lineage: Bacteria
Description: partial 16S ribosomal RNA
Rfam family: Bacterial small subunit ribosomal RNA
Source: RNAcentral